This 231-nucleotide ribosomal RNA is filed under the name Triticum aestivum (bread wheat). Its description in RNAcentral is "partial small subunit ribosomal RNA". The record is from RNAcentral. Lineage: Eukaryota; Viridiplantae; Streptophyta; Magnoliopsida; Poales; Poaceae.
AUGGCGGCCCUCUUAAAUUCUGGGCCUGAUUUCCAAGCCCUCAGGGCUCUGUCUUGGAUCUGGGCUCUAGCGGGCCGGGCUCGGAAAGGGAAAAACUCGAGAGCUUUCAGAAUCCUUCCUUCUAUGCCAUCAACGGCCGCCGGGGCGCCGCUGGUUUUCUUUCUUCUCGCCCAAGCCGCCGCCGCCGACACACCAAACCGGCAGCUGCCUGGUCGCCGGGGCCGACCCUAG